GUCGUUGUAGUAUAGUGGUGAGUAUCCCCGCUUGUCACGUGAGAAACCCGGGUUUGAUUCCCGGCAAUGAAG
RNAcentral lists this transfer RNA (72 nucleotides) under Ipomoea nil (Japanese morning glory). It matches the Rfam family "tRNA". From Rfam's summary of the family: Transfer RNA (tRNA) molecules are approximately 80 nucleotides in length. Their secondary structure includes four short double-helical elements and three loops (D, anti-codon, and T loops). Further hydrogen bonds mediate the characteristic L-shaped molecular structure. tRNAs have two regions of fundamental functional importance: the anti-codon, which is responsible for specific mRNA codon recognition, and the 3' end, to which the tRNAs corresponding amino acid is attached (by aminoacyl-tRNA synthetases). tRNAs cope with the degeneracy of the genetic code in two manners: having more than one tRNA (with a specific anti-codon) for a particular amino acid; and 'wobble' base-pairing, i.e. permitting non-standard base-pairing at the 3rd anti-codon position. The record is from Rfam by way of RNAcentral. Lineage: Eukaryota; Viridiplantae; Streptophyta; Magnoliopsida; Solanales; Convolvulaceae.